This 162-nucleotide ribosomal RNA is filed under the name Fagopyrum cymosum. RNAcentral describes it as "5.8S ribosomal RNA". It matches the Rfam family "5.8S ribosomal RNA". From Rfam's summary of the family: 5.8S ribosomal RNA (5.8S rRNA) is a component of the large subunit of the eukaryotic ribosome. Lineage: Eukaryota; Viridiplantae; Streptophyta; Magnoliopsida; Caryophyllales; Polygonaceae. The record is from RNAcentral.
AGAACGACUCUCGGAAACGGAUAUCUCGGCUCUCGCAUCGAUGAACAACGUAACGAAAUGCGAUACUUGGUGUGAAUUGUGGAAUCCCUUGAACCAUCCAGUCUUUGAACGCAACUUGCACCCGAGGCCUUCGGCUAAGGCUACGCCUGUCUGGGCGUCAGG